ACCACCGGGACUGCAUUGACCAAUGACAACAAUACUUUGCAAGACGAUGACACAUAUGGUGUUUUAGAUAACUAUCAGUAGUUCUUUUCUAUAUGCCCCGGUUCUGCAAAUUUCCGGUGUGGUCGUUUCCGGUCCACCGUUUACAAAAGUAGCUCUACAAUAUUUGCUUGUGAACUUGGUUGGUCCUAGGCCAUACAUUUGGAUGGCUUUACCGUUUACAAAAGUAGCUCUACAGUGUUUGUUUGAGAACUUGCUUGGUCCUAGGCCAUACAUUUGGAUGGUUUUCCAAACUAAUACGUUUUCUCUUAACGAUUUUCUACGACUUACAACACCAUUAAUCCGCCACGAUGAGUUACAUUUACUUUAAUUGGGCUUAGGGUCCCGCUUUUCUCUGAGCAGGGCCUGCCUGAACUAACACCUUAAGUUCUUAACGGAUAGUUUAGGCUUGUGGACGGGUGUUACCCUAUGACUCUUUCUCUUCUUUGCUUCUAUUCCCUGUCUCUAGUCUCUUAAACUUUGUUCUUCUUUUAGUACAACAACUUAUAAUAGCUCAAUAAACAAACCCAUGAAAUGUAGUCUUAACGUUUUAGAGGCCCAUCUCUUGUAUACCUUUUU
Molecule: long non-coding RNA, 615 nt
Organism: Arabidopsis thaliana (thale cress)
Lineage: Eukaryota; Viridiplantae; Streptophyta; Magnoliopsida; Brassicales; Brassicaceae
Product: other RNA
Exons: 1
Source: RefSeq